AAGUCGUAACAAGGUUUCCGUAGGUGAACCUGCGGAAGGAUCAUUAUCCUUUAGCUUGUGCGAGUGUUCUCAAUGCACUUGUACUCGAGCUCAUAACGCUCUUAUUGCGCGGCAGCCGCUCUCCGGCGACUGCUAAACAACCAAAUCCACGGUAGGCUCGUAGGCUACUGUGGUCAGGUACCUAUCAGCUGAAGCGACUCCUCGGAGUCGUGUUGGCGUAAAGAUUACUCCGCUGCGUCGGCGAGUAACGCCUGUUUAGCUUACAAGUUUUCUCACCAUUUAAAUUGCAUUUUAUGAGUUGUGAUUGCGUAAAUUCUAUGCUCAACAUAGAUGAUUUAACACAAAAACAACCCUAUGCGGUGGAUCACUUGGCUC
This 375-nucleotide unclassified non-coding RNA is filed under the name fungal sp. RNAcentral's name for it is "partial internal transcribed spacer region". The stretch from base 1 to 46 matches the Rfam family "Eukaryotic small subunit ribosomal RNA", at positions 1786 to 1831 of the family's 1831-position model. Lineage: Eukaryota; Fungi. The record is from RNAcentral.